This 6443-nucleotide long non-coding RNA is filed under the name Homo sapiens (human). RNAcentral describes it as "HSALNT0394274". The record is from RNAcentral. Lineage: Eukaryota; Metazoa; Chordata; Mammalia; Primates; Hominidae.
GGCGGGCUUUAGUUUUUUAGUAUAGAACUCAAUGGUCUGUGUGCGAUGGUAAAUAUCACCCCCGGAUAUGUUGUUCCCACUCUGUCUCUCUCUUCAUGAGGAAACUAUACAGACAUAGGUCUAAUGUUAUCUCCAUUUUACAGAUGGGAAAACUGAGUCAUGGGGACAGGCUGCAGAUUUGAAGAAAGUCUCAAGACAACCAGGUCUCUCUUCUCUGCUCUAGGUUCAAUUUGGCCAAUUGACCUUUAAAUGUGAGCUCUUGGCAACCUGGUCUAGUGGCUGAGGCAGGGGGUAAGCUGUAGUCAAAAGUCCUCUUCCCUAACCCUGGCAACAUAGACACUCAUCUCUACCAAAAAAAAUUUUUAAAUUAGCCAGGCAAGGUGGUACACCUGUAGUGCAAGCUAUUAAUACUUGGGAGGCUGAGGCGGAAGGAGUCCUUGAGCCCAGGAGUUCAGGGCUGCAAUGUACCAUGAUCACACCACUACACUCCAGCCUGGACAUCAGAAGAAAAAAACUCCUUCCCUGUUCUGAGUUGCUCAUAGCCAUGGUCCCUAGAACAUUAACUGGAUAAUGUGGAGAGUGUGUCUUGAGAGCCUUUGUUAUAGGUGAGAUACCCCCACGGAAGCUAGGGUAUUUUGCAGGGUAUUGUUGGAAGGUAGUCCUGCAAAGUUAGUUAUCCUGCCUAGAAAAAAAGAAAAACCCGGCCGGGCGCAGUGGCUCACACCUGUAAUCCCAACACUUUGGGAGGCCGAGGCGGGCGGAUCACCUGAGGUCAGAAGUUCGAGACCAGCCUGACCAACAUGGAGAAACUCCAUCUCUACUAAAAAUACACAAAAAAUUAGCUGGGCGUGGUGGCGCAUCCCUAUGAUCCCAGCUACUCGGGAGGCUGAGGCAGGAGAAUCGCGUGAGCCUGGGAGGCGGAGGUUGUGGUGAGCCAAGAUCGCACCAUUGCACUCCAGCCUGGGCAACAAGAGUGAAACUCCUUUGCAAAUAAAUAAAUAAGUAAAUGAAAAACCUGUGUUUUACAGGUUCAACAAAUCAACAUCUAUUUUUUAACUGCCAAGGCUAUGAAACCAUUUAGGUUUUAUUGCUAGUUGGUUAGAGUGCCCUCCUGUGUCUCCACAUUAAAAUAACAUGCGAGAAUUUUCAAAGGACAUCAUGAAAUUAUAAUUGUAGCAUUAGAAUGUAUGAUGUCAACUGUUCUGCUUCAUCCUUCCCAAGAACAAGGAGAUCUGAAGAGCCUCUCGCCUGGAGGAGUUCCAGCUGAGGAGUCUUGAUGGAACUUCUGCUGUGUUGCAGUCAAAAUUUCAAGGUCUCAGACAACACAAGGAAAGGGUUCCAUCCUUAUGUGGCAGCCCAGCAUCUAAAGACCCUUCCAAUGUUAAAGGAAUAAAUCUUCUGCUUAUGAUAAGACCCAACUCUCCACUAAAAAAAAGCUCAAAAGCAAUUGCUCACCUUCCCAGCCCCAGCCUCUCUUGCAGCUAGAGUCCCCGAUUCAAACUCAGUCAACUGAACUCUGAACUGGAAACUAAUGAGGCUGGAAGCACAUACCCACGCCACUCUGCCAAUGGACAGCCAGCUCUGGUUCUCUGGGGCAGCAGUGGAGUCACCCCCAGACUAGUCUGCAGUGGGAUUUGGGACAUUGCUGUCUGCCUGAGUAUAUCCUCCAAGCCUGGUUCUUCUGCCCUGCAGAUUCCAGUUGUUACCCAAUAUUCUCUUAAUGAGGUCCUCUUUUACAUACAUUAUCCAGAGACUGUUUAUAUUCUUACAACCAAGAAAAUGACUUAAUUGCCAGAAGCUUAUUGAGCAGCUGCUAGGGAGGAAACACUGGCCUGGAGACCAUGCCUGUGCUCUCACAGACACAAUACAGAAAGUUACAAGUGCCAGAAGGCUGGCUGGUAUGUAGGAGUUCCCAGAUAUCUGGACCAAUGCUGUCCAACAGAAAUAUAUAAUACAAACCGCAUGUCUUGGUCAGUUUGGGCUGCCAGAACAGUAUACCAUAGACUUAGUGGCUUUAAACAGAAAUUUAUUUUCUCAUAGUUCUGGAGACUAGAAGUCCAAGAUCAGGGUACCAGCAUAGUCGGUUUCUGGUGAGGGCCCUCUUUCUGGCUUAUAGAUGGCUGCCUUCUCACUGUGUCCUCACAUGGCAGAGAGAGAGAGAGGAGAGAGAGAGAGAGAGAGAGAGAGAGAGAGAAAGAACACGCUGAUGUCUCUUCCAAUAACAACUCUAAUCCCAUCAUGGUGCCUCACCUCAUAACCUCAUCUAAACCAAAUGAUCUCCCACAGGCCCCAUCUCCAAAUACAUCAUAGGGAGUUAGGGCUUCAACAUAGGAAUUUGAGGGGGUCCCAAUUCAGUCCAUAGCGGCACAUGUAUAAUUUUAUGUUUCCUAGUGGUCCUAUUAUAAAGGUAAAAAGAAACACAUGAAAUUAAAAUUAAGUGGCUGGGUGUGGUGGCUCACGCCUGUAAUCCUGGCACUUUGGGAGGCCAAAGUGGAAGGAUGGCUUGAGGCUAGGCAUUUGAGACCAGCCAGGGCAACAUAAGGAGACCUCAUCUCUACCCAAAUAAAUAAGUAAAAACAUUUUUAAAAAGAAAUUAAUAUUAAUAAUAUAUUUUACUUAACCCAACAUGUCCAAAAUAUUAUUUCAACAUGUUGCCAAUAUAAAAAAAUUAUUGAGAUAUUUUACAUUUUUGUUUUGAAAUCCAGUGUGUAUUUUACACUUACAGCACAUGUCAGUUCGGACUAGCCAUAUUCAAGGGCUCAAUAGCCACAUGUAGCUGGUUGCUACCAUAUUGGACAGCAUAGAUCUACAAUGUUAAAACUAAAAUAAACCUUAGAGAUCAUUUAGUACAACCAUCUCACUUUACAGAUAAUGAUCCCAAGACCCAGCCACAUUCACUGACUUGCUCAAGGUCACACAGUUGGUAAAAAGUCAGGGAUGGAACACAAUGUUGGGUUACUAAUUCCAUUUCUUUCUUUUUUUUUUUUUUUUUGAGACAGCGUCUCACUCUGUCACUCAGACUGGAGUGCAGAGACAAAAUUAUGGCUCACUGCAGCCUCAAAUUCCUGAGCUCAAGUGAUCUUCCCACCUCAGCCUCCCAAGCUACUAGACUACAAGUGCCUGCCACCAUGCCCAGCUAUUUAUUUAUUUAUUUAUUUAUUUAUUUAUUUAUUGAGAUGAAGUCUUGCUCUGUCCCCCAGGCUAGAGUACAGUGGUGUGAUCUCAGCUCACUGCAACCUCCACCUCCAGGGUUCAAGCAAGUCUCCUGCCUCAGCCUCCCAAGUAGCUGGGAUUACAGGUACGCACCACCACACCAAGCUAAUUUUUGUAUUUUUAGUAGAGGUGGGGUUUCACUGUGUUAGCCAGACUAGUGUUGAACUCCUGACCUCAGGUGAUCCACCUGCCUCGGCCUCUCAAAGAGUUGGAAUUACAGGCGUGAGCCACCAUGCCUGACCUUAUUUUCUUUUAUGUUUUUGUAGAGACAGGGUCUCGCUAUGUUGCUCAGGCUGGUCUCAAACUCCUGGGCAAACGAUCCUCCUGACUGGGCCUCCCAAAGCACUGAGAUUACAGGUGUAAGCCAUGGCACCCAGCCUCUAAUUCCAAGAUCGGUGCUUUUCCCAUGGCCUCUCCCCAUUCAAAUACAGAAAAGAUGAUGAAGGACUGAGAGGACCAGACUUAGUAGAAGACCUGAAAAAAAAAACAUACCAUUGCCUGAAAAAACUAAUACAAACAUGACCCCUUCAAAUACUCACUGAAUACCUACCACAUUUCUGGCAUUGUUCUAGGUGCUGUAGAAAACUCAAAAAGAAAUGACAAAUAUAAAUGAAUGCACAGUUUACUCAACUCUGAAUUCCAAGUGCAGAGAAGAGAAAAAGUAUUAAGUGAAGCAAAUUGAUAGGACAGACCAUUAGAGGCAGGUAAGACUUGGGAAGACCUUAAAGGAAGAAAAGCUCUUACUUUUUGGCUCUUGGCUAGCACUUGGAUCCUCCUGAGUUAUUUGCUGCCUACAAAGUUUAGAAAGGGAAUGCCAAGCUUCCACCAGGCGGCAUCUCUAUGCUUCCCUGGUCUCAUGGAUAACAUGUAGCCUUGGCUAUCCCCUCAAUAAGUUGAGAGGCCUGAAACCUCCAACUGCUUAAGGGUUUUUCAGGGGGUUUUCUGGGUGUUUGUUUUUUUUUUUUUUUGAGACAGCAUCUCGUUCUGUCUCCCAGGCUGGAGUGCAGUGGUUUGACCAUAGCUCACUGCAGCCUUGAACUUCUGAGCUCAAACAUUCCUCCCACCUCAGCUUCCCAAGUAGCUGGAACCAUAGGUGUAUGCUGCCACACCCAGCUAAUUUUUCUUUUUGGUUUUUUAUAGAGACAGAGUCUCACUAUGUUGUCCAGUCUGGUCUUGAACUCCUGGCCUCAAGCCAUCCUCCUGCCUCAGCCUCCCCAGUAUCUGAGACUACAAGCAUAAGCCACCGUAACUGGCUCUUGCUUAAGUUUAUAUUAGCAGCAAGACUUCCUUUAAGUGUAGUCAAGUAGAGCAGCAUUUCCCAAUGUGUGGCCCUAGGACCUUGUUAGGUAUUACAUGGAAUAAAAAUGGGAACGCUGAGUUAAACAAGCAAGAACGGGCUCUUUCACUGCAGAACUUCUCAGGACUUUUAAUAUGUUUUAUGCCAUCAGUGGCUCAGCUUCAAGGUCAACAUCCUUAACAUGCUUACACCGCCUUCCAUGGACUGGCCCAGAUGGAAUCUCACUCUGUUGCCCAGGCUGGAGUGCAAUGACGCGAUCUUGGUUCACUGCAACCUCCAUCUCCCAAGUUCAAGUGAUUCUCCUGCCUCAGCCUCUCAAGUAGCUGGGAUUACAGGUGUGCACCGCCAUGCCCAGCUAAUUUUUGUAUUUUUAGUAGAGACAGGGUUUUACCAUGUUGGUCAGGCUAAUCUCGAACUCCUGACCUCGUGAUCUGCUCACCUUGACCUCCCAAAGUGCCGGGAUUACAGGCAUGAGCCACCACACCCAGCCAGGACCCCUACUUUCUAUAUUUCUUACUUCUAUAUUUCAGUCCUUGUGGACAAACCAUAACCUAACUUAGUAGGUAGACAAGAUCGAAUGUUGUGGGAAGUCAGGAACCCUGAACAGAGGGACCAGCUGAAGCCACGGCAGAAGAACAUAAAUUGUGAAGAUUUCAUGGACAUUUAUUACUUCCCCAAAUUAAUACUUUUAUAAUUUCUUAUGCCUGUCUUUACUGCAAUCUCUGAACAUAAAUUGUGAAGAUUUCAUGUACACUUAGCACUUCCCCAAUCAAUACCCUUGUGAUUUCCUAUGCCUGUCUUUAUUUUAAUCUCUUAAUCCUGUAAUCUUCGUAAGCUGAGGAGGAUGUAUGUCACCUCAGGACCCUGUGAUGAUUGCAUUAACUGCACAAAUUGUUUGUAGAGCAUGUGUGUUUGAACAAUAUGAAAUCUGGGCACCUUGAAAAAAGAACAGGAUAACAGCAGUGUUCAGGGAACAAGAGAGAUAACCUUCAACCCUGACUGCCGGUGAGCUGGGUGGAACAGAGCCAUAUUUCUCUUCUUUCAAAAGCAAAUGGGAGAAAUAUCGCUUAAUUCUUUUCCUCAGCAAGGAACAUCCCUGAGAAAGAGAAUGCGUCCCUGAGGGUCGGUCUCUGAAAUGGCUGCUUUAGGGGUGGCUUCUUUUACGGUUGCAGCUGUAGGGAUGAAAUAAGCCCCAGUCUCCCUUAGCGCUCCCAGGCUUAUUAGGACAAGGAAAUUCCCACCUAAUAAAAUUUUGGUCAGACCGGUUCUCUGCUCUCAAACCCUGUCUCCUGAUAAGAUGUUAUCAAUGACAAUGCCUGCCCGAAACUUCAUUAGCAAUUUUAAUUUUGCCCUGGUCCUGUGGUCCUGUGAUCUCGCCCUGCCUCCAUUUACCUUGUGAUAUCUUAUUACCUUGUGAAGCAUGUGAUCUCUGUGACCUACACCCUAUUCGUACACUCCCUCCCCUUUUGAAAAUCGCUAAUAAAAACUCACUGGUUUUAUGGCUCAGGGGGCAUCAUGGAACCUGCCAACAUCUGAUGUCUCCCCCAGACACCCAGCUUUAACAUUUUUCUCUUUUGUACUCUUUCCCUUUAUUUCUCAGACCGGCUGACACUUAGGGAAAAUAAAAAAGAACCUACGUGACUAUCGGGAGCAGGCUCCCACAAUAUUUGAAAACCUAAUUUAGGAGUAUGUGCCUAUAACAAUAGCUGAGUCUUGGCCAAUCCCAGCAGCCACACUUCAACCACUCAUAGGCUGCUGAGUGUUCAAACUGUUCAAAUAAGGCAAACACCAACCUGUAACUAAUCCAGUUGUUUCUGUACCUCCCUUCUGAUUUCUGUACGUCACUUUCCUUUUUUUGCCUGUAAAUUUGUUCUGACCAUGAGGCAUCCCUAGAGCCUCUCUGAAUCUGCUGUGAUUCUGAGGGCUGCCUGAU